RNAcentral lists this long non-coding RNA (1568 nucleotides) under Dicentrarchus labrax (European seabass). RNAcentral's name for it is "lncRNA (ENSDLAG00005032134.1)". The record is from RNAcentral. Lineage: Eukaryota; Metazoa; Chordata; Actinopteri; Moronidae.
UUGUGAUUCAAUGAUGAAUUAGUGUUUUUUUUAAGGCACAGUCUCUCCAAACCACCUAAAUAAAGUUUUUGAUACAUACACUGUGAGUAAAACUAGGUUAAUUGGUCUAAAUGUUGGUUAUAGAACACCAUCAUUAAUUGUGGAUUCACUUCAAAGUGUAAUUUAACAUUCUUAAAAUGUACUUAGUUGACCUACUUUAAUGACUUGAUGAAAAAUGAAUCUACUGCUUUUACAGAUAUCCCCUUGUGCUGUCGGUCAAACGGAGAGGUCCAAGCAUUGUUGACACUGGGUAAAUCCCAAACAACCACAUCCGUACAUUAUGGGUUUGCCAUUAUGGAUAACGUUCAGAAGCCUCACUGCUCAGUCAGUCACAGUCUGUCCUGGAUGUGGACACUGAUGCUCAGUAGAAGUUAAAACCAGCCAAAUGCUACAUAGCGGCUGUCAUCAUCUGAAAUUUCAAACCAGCGACAGCAGGUGUUGCUAGAGAACACAUCAGCUGCUUGCUUGCAAAGUAAAGCACUUAGUGAUGCCUCUACAAAAAAAAAGGCCUCUACAAAAAAGAAAAGAUUGUUGUGUACUGAAUGUCGUUAUAUACGUACUUCUGCCAGACCAGAGAAUCCUACAAGGUCAGGGUUUGGGUGAUUUCUACCAGUGAGUUAAAUGACUCCCUGCUUCCUCUAAAUGGAACUCAUUACAGAGCCAUUUAAAGUUCAGUUUGACGGUUUAUCUGCAACUUUGAGAGCUGUUACAAUAUUAACCAGGUUACAUUGCUUUUAACAGACGUGUUGCAGGCUGUUUGGACAUCAGAUGAAGUCAAAGUGUUGCUCACCGAUGGUGGGAGGAGAGCGUCCAGGAGCAGCUCAGAUCUACUCAGAGGAACGAGUAGAUCGAGUGUUUGCUCAGCUGAGUCCUGACCUCACCACUCAGGGCUUUGAUAAGACCAGCCAGCCAAUGCAGGGAAAAGAAGUACAGAAAAGACCUUGGCAAUCGUUGUCACUUUUCUGCCUCCUCAUUGUGUCUCCUGGUUCCAACGCUGUGUGCGAUGUGUGCCUUUGCCUGGCAGGUGGUUCUGUGCUGUAAUCUGCUACACUAUGGAAAGUCAAGUGCAAUCCUUGCUCUGACUAAGGGCAAGGGUAAGAAACAUAGAAGCAUUUAUACAGUUUUAUGUAAGGUAAGGUUUUAUGUGUCAGUGGAGUGGAUUUCUAAAAAUAAUUACUCCCUCUUACUCAAUCUGAAGUGUAUUUGAUUUACAUUCAGACAUAAGACAAUAACAAUAUCUGUUGCGGUGUGUGUUUCCGGUUGUGUUGGAGUUGUGUCGCAGUGAGAGCACUGCCAACCUGCUGAAUAUCCAGCCUCACUUGAAGAACCUCGCAAUGGGCUCCACCUGUGAUCAGGAGGUACGUCUGCAGGUGUGGAUGAAUACUGAACUGAAAGCAACGUAGAGCUGUGGAGCGGUGUGUUGAUUCUCAGUAGGAUCUGCAGUAUAAGCAGCUUUAAGUGGCAAAAUGGCUUAAAUAUUUAUUUUGAAAAAUAAUUUAUUAUUUACUUAUUUUACAAAGAGGGACAUA